AGUGAACGCUGGCGGUAGGCCUAACACAUGCAAGUCGAACGGCAGCACAGUAAGAGCUUGCUCUUACGGGUGGCGAGUGGCGGACGGGUGAGGAAUACAUCGGAAUCUACUCUUUCGUGGGGGAUAACGUAGGGAAACUUACGCUAAUACCGCAUACGACCUACGGGUGAAAGCAGGGGAUCUUCGGACCUUGCGCGAUUGAAUGAGCCGAUGUCGGAUUAGCUAGUUGGCGGGGUAAAGGCCCACCAAGGCGACGAUCCGUAGCUGGUCUGAGAGGAUGAUCGGCCACACUGGAACUGAGACACGGUCCAGACUCCUACGGGAGGGAGCAGUGGGGAAUAUUGGACAAUGGGCGGAAGCCUGAUCCAGCCAUACCGCGUGGGUGAAGAAGGCCUUCGGGUUGUAAAGCCCUUUUGUUGGGAAAGAAAAGCAGCAGGUUAAUACCCCGCGGUUCUGACGGUACCCAAAGAAUAAGCACCGGCUAACUUCGUG
Molecule: ribosomal RNA, 492 nt
Filed under: uncultured bacterium
Lineage: Bacteria
Description: partial 16S ribosomal RNA
Rfam family: Bacterial small subunit ribosomal RNA
Source: RNAcentral